CGCAUUUCACGACCAUGCGUGUCUCAUCAAGAAGACGGAUUUUCGUGGGUGGUUCCGUGAAAUAAUGUUCAGGAAUUUAGGUCAGACAGCUGAAGGCGAUCGAGAACGUGUCCCCAUGUGGAAGAGUGUGGAGCCGGGGCACGGAGUGCCAGGCAGGAGCCCUCACAGCAUCCGGAGGGUCAGAGGCAGCCUGAGGGCGUGGUCGUUUUCCAAAGACUGCCAAUGGAUGGCGGGCGGACGGUUUCAGGAGGCUGCACCGUAAGAGACUCUGCUGUGGGACGUGGGCCUGGACAAUUCAUUGGAUUUUGGUGACU
This 314-nucleotide long non-coding RNA is filed under the name Ursus thibetanus thibetanus. RNAcentral's name for it is "lncRNA (ENSUTTG00000001916.1)". Lineage: Eukaryota; Metazoa; Chordata; Mammalia; Carnivora; Ursidae. The record is from RNAcentral.